GUGUGGAUGCACAGACAGCCAGGAGGUUGGCUUAGAGCAGCCAUUUCCUUAAAAGAGUGCGUUCCAGCUCAGCUGGUCGAGCAUUCAUGCGCCAGACAAUGUAACGGGGCUAAGCAUAAUACCGAAGCCCAUGGACUCAUAUCUUUAGGAUAUGAUUGGUAGGGGAUCAUUCCAUUAACUGAAGAAGGAAUACUCGCGAGGGGUUCUGGAGGAGAUGGAAGAGAGAAUGCAGGUAUAAGUAACGAAAAGACGGGUGGGAUUCCCGUCCGCCCAAAACAUAAGGGUUCCAGGUUAAAGGCAAUCUGCCCUGGGUAAAAUCGGCCCCUAAGGCCAGGUCGAAAGACGUAGCCGAUGGGAAAUCGGUUUAUAAUCCGAUCCCUUCCACAGUUUUCAGGACAGGACGCAUGAGGUAAAAUCCGGCCGGAGAACGGCUGUUCCGGUCAAAGCGCCGAGCCGAUGAGGGCCGCAGGCAAAUCCGCGGUCCGAGGUGAGGCGUUACAGCGAGCGGAGAGAAAGUCGAAGCGAAGCGGAUGUAGUCAGGGUGCCGGGAAAUACUGUCUAAGGCUAGGCUGUGGAGGACCGUACCGUAAACGGACACACGUAUGUGGGAUGAGAAAUCUAAGGCGCACGAGCGACCUCGCGUUAAGGAACUCGGCAAAACGCACACGUAACUCGGAAGAAGUGGGAUCGA
This 691-nucleotide ribosomal RNA is filed under the name uncultured Treponema sp. Its description in RNAcentral is "partial 23S ribosomal RNA". It matches the Rfam family "Bacterial large subunit ribosomal RNA", at positions 1075 to 1754 of the family's 2925-position model. Lineage: Bacteria; Pseudomonadati; Spirochaetota; Spirochaetia; Treponematales; Treponemataceae. The record is from RNAcentral.